RNAcentral lists this transfer RNA (87 nucleotides) under Escherichia coli. RNAcentral's name for it is "tRNA-Leu". It matches the Rfam family "tRNA". From Rfam's summary of the family: Transfer RNA (tRNA) molecules are approximately 80 nucleotides in length. Their secondary structure includes four short double-helical elements and three loops (D, anti-codon, and T loops). Further hydrogen bonds mediate the characteristic L-shaped molecular structure. tRNAs have two regions of fundamental functional importance: the anti-codon, which is responsible for specific mRNA codon recognition, and the 3' end, to which the tRNAs corresponding amino acid is attached (by aminoacyl-tRNA synthetases). tRNAs cope with the degeneracy of the genetic code in two manners: having more than one tRNA (with a specific anti-codon) for a particular amino acid; and 'wobble' base-pairing, i.e. permitting non-standard base-pairing at the 3rd anti-codon position. RNAcentral also lists the same sequence under 3 other names. Lineage: Bacteria; Pseudomonadati; Pseudomonadota; Gammaproteobacteria; Enterobacterales; Enterobacteriaceae. The record is from RNAcentral.
GCCCGGAUGGUGGAAUCGGUAGACACAAGGGAUUUAAAAUCCCUCGGCGUUCGCGCUGUGCGGGUUCAAGUCCUGCUCCGGGUACCA